RNAcentral lists this ribosomal RNA (760 nucleotides) under uncultured prokaryote. RNAcentral's name for it is "bacterial SSU rRNA". It matches the Rfam family "Bacterial small subunit ribosomal RNA", at positions 708 to 1482 of the family's 1533-position model. The record is from RNAcentral.
UNCGAUUGCGAAGGCAGCUUGCUGGACUGUAACUGACGCUGAGGCACGAAAGCGUGGGGAUCAAACAGGAUUAGAUACCCUGGUAGNCCACGCCGUAAACGAUGAAUGCUAGCUGUUAGCGAUAUACUGUUAGCGGCACAGAGAAAUCGUUAAGCAUUCCACCUGGGGAGUACGCCGGCAACGGUGAAACUCAAAGGAAUUGACGGGGNNCCGCACAAGCGGAGGAACAUGUGGUUUAAUUCGAUGAUACGCGAGGAACCUUACCUGGGCUUAAAUUGCAGUGGAAUAACGUGGAAACAUGUUAGCCUUCGGGCCGCUGUGAAGGUGCUGCAUGGUUGUCGUCAGCUCGUGCCGUGAGGUGUCGGCUUAAGUGCCAUAACGAGCGCAACCCUCAUCGAUAGUUACUAACAGGUUAAGCUGAGGACUCUAUCGAGACUGCCGACGUAAGUCGUGAGGAAGGUGGGGAUGACGUCAAAUCAGCACGGCCCUUACGUCCAGGGCUACACACGUGUUACAAUGGGGGGUACAAAGGGCAGCUACCUGGCGACAGGAUGCUAAUCUCAAAAACCUCUCUCAGUUCGGAUUGGAGUCUGCAACCCGACUCCAUGAAGCUGGAUUCGCUAGUAAUCGCGCAUCAGCCACGGCGCGGUGAAUACGUUCCCGGGCCUUGUACACACCGCCCGUCAAGCCAUGGGAGCCGGGGGGACCUGAAGUAUGCAACCGUAAGGAGCGUCCUAGGGUAAAACUGGUGACUGGGGCU